ACAUUUUAGAACAACCGACAACAUGAGUGCAAUAUUUAUGCAGCAAAAUAGAAUAUUAAUCUAACUUCAAAAGUGUUUUUAACUUCUGCGUCGUCAACAACCAUCUGCUUGGAUGAUUCCUCUAUCUCUUACCCGAGUUACGCUACGUUGUUAUCAAAUCGUUGUCUCUGUUCGAUCCGCCUUGGGCAAGUUGACCGGGCGUUAACUGAUGCACAAGCGUGUAGGGAAUUGAGACCCAACUGGCAGAAAGCUUGGUAUAGAGAGGGUUCAGCUUUGCGUUUGAUGCAGGCAUGCACUAAGAAUCACUUCAAAUGGCCGACAGGACAUUGA
This 330-nucleotide long non-coding RNA is filed under the name Helianthus annuus (common sunflower). RNAcentral's name for it is "hypothetical non coding rna". The record is from RNAcentral. Lineage: Eukaryota; Viridiplantae; Streptophyta; Magnoliopsida; Asterales; Asteraceae.